RNAcentral lists this ribosomal RNA (253 nucleotides) under Faecalibacterium prausnitzii. RNAcentral describes it as "partial 16S ribosomal RNA". It matches the Rfam family "Bacterial small subunit ribosomal RNA", at positions 524 to 776 of the family's 1533-position model. The record is from RNAcentral. Lineage: Bacteria; Bacillati; Bacillota; Clostridia; Eubacteriales; Oscillospiraceae.
AACGUAGGUCACAAGCGUUGUCCGGAAUUACUGGGUGUAAAGCGAGCGCAGGCGGGAAGACAAGUUGGAAGUGAAAUCCAUGGGCUCAACCCAUGAACUGCUUUCAAAACUGUUUUUCUUGAGUAGUGCAGAGGUAGGCGGAAUUCCCGGUGUAGCGGUGGAAUGCGUAGAUAUCGGGAGGAACACCAGUGGCGAAGGCGGCCUACUGGGCACCAACUGACGCUGAGGCUCGAAAGUGUGGGUAGCAAACAGG